Chlorocebus sabaeus (green monkey) is the source of this 118-nucleotide ribosomal RNA. NCBI's taxonomy places the organism in Eukaryota, Metazoa, Chordata, Mammalia, Primates, Cercopithecidae. The record is from Ensembl.
GUUUACGGCCAUACACUCCGAACGCACCCAAUCUUGUCUGACCUCAGAAGCUACGCAGGGUGGGGCCUCAUUAGUACUUGGAUGGGAAACUGCCUGGGAAUACAAGACGCUGUAGGCC